GAUGAACGCUAGCGGCAGGCCUAACACAUGCAAGUCGAGGGAUAAGCCUUCGGGCUAAGACCGGCGCACGGGUGCGUAACGCGUAUACAAUCUGCCUUUUAUCCGGGGGAUAGCCCGAAGAAAUUUGGAUUAAUACCCUAUGGUAUAAGAGCACGGCAUCGUGCACUUAUUAAAGCUACGGCGGUAAAAGAUGAGUAUGCGUUCUAUUAGCUAGUUGGAGAGGUAACGGCUCCCCAAGGCGACGAUAGAUAGGGGUUCUGAGAGGGAUGUCCCCCACACUGGUACUGCGAUACGGACCAGACUCCGACGGGAGGCAGCAGUGAGGAAUAUUGGACAAUGGUCGGAAGACUGAUCCAGCCAUGCCGCGUGCAGGAUGACGGCCUUAUGGGUUGUAAUCUGCUUUUGUAAGGGAAGAAUAAGGAGUACGUGUACUUUGAUGACGGUACCUUACGAAUAAGCAUCGGCUAACUCCGUG
RNAcentral lists this ribosomal RNA (475 nucleotides) under uncultured bacterium. RNAcentral describes it as "partial 16S ribosomal RNA". It matches the Rfam family "Bacterial small subunit ribosomal RNA", at positions 28 to 507 of the family's 1533-position model. The record is from RNAcentral.